Molecule: ribosomal RNA, 253 nt
Filed under: uncultured bacterium
Lineage: Bacteria
Description: partial 16S ribosomal RNA
Rfam family: Bacterial small subunit ribosomal RNA
Source: RNAcentral
UACGUAGGAGGCAAGCGUUGUCCGGAAUCAUUGGGCGUAAAGAGCGUGUAGGCGGUCCGGUAAGUCGGCUGUGAAAGUCCAGGGCUCAACCCUGGGAUGCCGGUCGAUACUGCCGGACUAGAGUUCGGAAGAGGCGAGUGGAAUUCCCGGUGUAGCGGUGAAAUGCGCAGAUAUCGGGAGGAACACCUAUGGCGAAGGCAGCUCGCUGGGACGUUACUGACGCUGAGACGCGAAAGCGUGGGGAGCAAACAGG